UACGAAGGGGGCUAGCGUUGCUCGGAAUCACUGGGCGUAAAGCGCACGUAGGCGGAUUGCUAAGUCAGGGGUGAAAUCCUGGAGCUCAACUCCAGAACUGCCUUUGAUACUGAGGAUCUUGAGUGCGGGAGAGGUGAGUGGAACUGCGAGUGUAGAGGUGAAAUUCGUAGAUAUUCGCAAGAACACCAGUGGCGAAGGCGGCUCACUGGCCCGUAACUGACGCUGAGGCACGAAAGCGUGGGGAGCAAACAGG
This 253-nucleotide ribosomal RNA is filed under the name uncultured bacterium. RNAcentral's name for it is "partial 16S ribosomal RNA". It matches the Rfam family "Bacterial small subunit ribosomal RNA", at positions 524 to 776 of the family's 1533-position model. The record is from RNAcentral.